Molecule: ribosomal RNA, 446 nt
Filed under: uncultured bacterium
Lineage: Bacteria
Description: partial 16S ribosomal RNA
Rfam family: Bacterial small subunit ribosomal RNA
Source: RNAcentral
AACGAACGCUGGCGGCAGGCUUAACACAUGCAAGUCGAGCGCCUCGCAAGAGGAGCGGCAGACGGGUGAGUAACGCGUGGGAAUCUACCGUACCCUACGGAAUAGCUCUGGGAAACUGGAAGUAAUACCGUAUACGCCCUUUGGGGGAAAGAUUUAUCGGGGUAUGAUGAGCCCGCGUUGGAUUAGCUAGUUGGUGGGGUAAAGGCCUACCAAGGCGACGAUCCAUAGCUGGUCUGAGAGGAUGAUCAGCCACAUUGGGACUGAGACACGGCCCAAACUCCUACGGGAGGCAGCAGUGGGGAAUAUUGGACAAUGGCGCAAGCCUGAUCCAGCCAUGCCGCGUGAGUGAUGAAGGCCUUAGGAUUGUAAAGCUCUUUCACCGAUGAAGAUAAUGACGGUAGUCGGAGAAGAAGCCCCGGCUAACUUCGUGCCAGCAGCAGCCGCGG